Long non-coding RNA from Acanthopagrus latus (yellowfin seabream), 701 nucleotides. RefSeq lists it as uncharacterized. The transcript has 2 exons. Lineage: Eukaryota; Metazoa; Chordata; Actinopteri; Spariformes; Sparidae. The record is from RefSeq and is a predicted model, not a curated record.
UGUAGAAAUGUCCCCGCUGCUGGUUCUGUAGAGACACGCGGCGGGAAGGGUGCGUUUCAGUGCGGUAAUCGGUGCGGGAAACAAAAUGGAUGCCGAACCAAAGGCUUCAGCCAUGAUGGAGCUGCCGGCUGUAGACUCGGCCAGGUGCUUCAUUUCAUUCAGAAGCUCGUCCCCUCCCCGUCCUCCCGUCACCAGGUUGGAUGGAAGAACGUCCUGACUGGGACAGUUUGUACAGUUCAGCGCAUGAAAACAUCUUUGAAGAACAUCAGGCAGCAGCGCCGAAGACUUGCGGGUUAAAUCACAGCUUCAAUAAUUCAGUGAAGUUUAUCGAUGUUUAAAGGUGCAGUAUGUAAGACUUCCAAACUAAUGGCGGUUACUGUGGUGAUCUGCUGCCCCCUAACUGUGGCUGAUUCGAUGAGAUCAGUUUGUGUUGGAGCGACCCAAAUCUCCCACAAUUCUGGUCGGCCAUCUUAAAACAUCCUUUAAUAUCUGCAGUGAAGAGUCGUAACCAGAACCAUGGAUCAGGAUGUUUGGACUUACACCAAAUCACCAUCACACUGUUAAUGACUUGGUACUCUGUGAGAGGUUCAGUCAAGAGGUUUCUAAUUUUGGAAACUAAAUUCCAGCGUAGUUUCUGACCGAUUGAUUGAUUCGUUUUGUGAACAUGUCGUCAAACUAAACUUAAACUUCAUAAUCUGAGA